RNAcentral lists this ribosomal RNA (521 nucleotides) under uncultured bacterium. RNAcentral describes it as "bacterial SSU rRNA". It matches the Rfam family "Bacterial small subunit ribosomal RNA", at positions 28 to 531 of the family's 1533-position model. The record is from RNAcentral.
GACGAACGCUGGCGGCGUGCCUAACACAUGCAAGUCGAACGGUCCGGCACUCAACCGACCCUCAGUCUAGCUGUAGGUGAAGUUGAGUGCCGGAUAGUGGCGGACGGGUGAGUAACGCGUGGGCAACCAACCCUGUACAGUGGGAUAACACCGGGAAACCGGUGCUAAUACCGCAUGACACCUAGAUGGUGCAUACUGUUUAGGUUAAAGGAUUUAACCGGUACAGGACGGGCCCGCGUCCCAUUAGCUGGUUGGUGAGGUAACGGCUCACCAAGGCGACGAUGGGUAGCCGACCUGAGAGGGUGACCGGCCACACUGGGACUGAGACACGGCCCAGACUCCUACGGGAGGCAGCAGUGGGGAAUAUUGCGCAAUGGACGGAAGUCUGACGCAGCGACGCCGCGUGAGCGACGAAGGCCUUCGGUCGUAAAGCUCUGUUCUUGGGUACGAAGGAAAUGACGGUACCCAAGGAGAAAGACCCCGGCUAACCUACGUGCCAGCAGCCGCGGUAAUAGUACUCU